Molecule: ribosomal RNA, 269 nt
Filed under: uncultured prokaryote
Description: partial 16S ribosomal RNA
Rfam family: Bacterial small subunit ribosomal RNA
Source: RNAcentral
UACGGGGGGAGCAAGCGUUGUUCGGAUUUACUGGGCGUAAAGGGCGUCUAGGCGGAUUGGCAAGUUAGGUGUGAAAUCCCACGGCUCAACCGUGGAAGUGCAUUUAAAACUGCUAGUCUUGAGUACGAAAGAGGAAAGCGGAAUUCCUGGUGUAGCGGUGAAAUGCGUAGAUAUCAGGAAGAACACCGGUGGCGAAGGCGGCUUUCUGGUUCGAUACUGACGCUAAAGCGCGAAAGUGUGGGGAGCAAACAGGAUUAGAUACCCGCGUA